UGGGGAAUUUUGGACAAUGGGCGAAAGCCUGAUCCAGCAAUGCCGCGUGUGUGAAGAAGGCCUUCGGGUUGUAAAGCACUUUUGUCCGGAAAGAAAUCCUUGGCUCUAAUACAGUCGGGGGAUGACGGUACCGGAAGAAUAAGCACCGGCUAACUACGUGCCAGCAGCCGCGGUAAUACGUAGGGUGCAAGCGUUAAUCGGAAUUACUGGGCGUAAAGCGUGCGCAGGCGGUUUGCUAAGACCGAUGUGAAAUCCCCGGGCUCAACUGGGAACUGCAUUGUGACUGGCAGGCUAGAGUAUGGCAGAGGGGGGUAGAAUUCCACGUGUAGCAGUGAAAUGCGUAGAGAUGUGGAGGAAUACCGAUGGCGAAGGCAGCCCCCUGGGCCAAUACUGACGCUCAUGCA
This 404-nucleotide ribosomal RNA is filed under the name uncultured bacterium. RNAcentral's name for it is "partial 16S ribosomal RNA". It matches the Rfam family "Bacterial small subunit ribosomal RNA", at positions 355 to 753 of the family's 1533-position model. The record is from RNAcentral.